RNAcentral lists this ribosomal RNA (1150 nucleotides) under Streptomyces sp. RNAcentral describes it as "bacterial SSU rRNA". It matches the Rfam family "Bacterial small subunit ribosomal RNA", at positions 271 to 1426 of the family's 1533-position model. The record is from RNAcentral. Lineage: Bacteria; Bacillati; Actinomycetota; Actinomycetes; Kitasatosporales; Streptomycetaceae.
AGGCGACGACGGGUAGCCGGCCUGAGAGGGCGACCGGCCACACUGGGACUGAGACACGGCCCAGACUCCUACGGGAGGCAGCAGUGGGGAAUAUUGCACAAUGGGCGAAAGCCUGAUGCAGCGACGCCGCGUGAGGGAUGACGGCCUUCGGGUUGUAAACCUCUUUCAGCAGGGAAGAAGCGAAAGUGACGGUACCUGCAGAAGAAGCGCCGGCUAACUACGUGCCAGCAGCCGCGGUAAUACGUAGGGCGCAAGCGUUGUCCGGAAUUAUUGGGCGUAAAGAGCUCGUAGGCGGCUUGUCACGUCGGUUGUGAAAGCCCGGGGCUUAACCCCGGGUCUGCAGUCGAUACGGGCAGGCUAGAGUUCGGUAGGGGAGAUCGGAAUUCCUGGUGUAGCGGUGAAAUGCGCAGAUAUCAGGAGGAACACCGGUGGCGAAGGCGGAUCUCUGGGCCGAUACUGACGCUGAGGAGCGAAAGCGUGGGGAGCGAACAGGAUUAGAUACCCUGGUAGUCCACGCCGUAAACGGUGGGCACUAGGUGUGGGCAACUUUCCAUGUUGUCCGUGCCGCAGCUAACGCAUUAAGUGCCCCGCCUGGGGAGUACGGCCGCAAGGCUAAAACUCAAAGGAAUUGACGGGGGCCCGCACAAGCGGCGGAGCAUGUGGCUUAUUUCGACGCAACGCGAAGAACCUUACCAAGGCUUGACAUACACCGGAAAGUUUCAGAGAUGGCCCCCCCCUUGUGGUCGGUGUACAGGUGGUGCAUGGCUGUUGUCAGCUCGUGUCGUGAGAUGUUGGGUUAAGUCCCGCAACGAGCGCAACCCUUGUCCCGUGUUGCCAGCAGGCCCUUGUGGUGCUGGGGACUCACGGGAGACCGCCGGGGUCAACUCGGAGGAAGGUGGGGAAGACGUCAAGUCAUCAUGCCCCUUAUGUCUUGGGCUGCACACGUGCUACAAUGGCCGGUACAAUGAGCUGCGAUACCGCGAGGUGGAGCGAAUCUCAAAAAGCCGGUCUCAGUUCGGAUUGGGGUCUGCAACUCGACCCCAUGAAGUCGGAGUCGCUAGUAAUCGCAGAUCAGCAUUGCUGCGGUGAAUACGUUCCCGGGCCUUGUACACACCGCCCGUCAUGUCACGAAAGUCGGUAACACCAGAAG